AUCGCUUCUCGGCCUUUUGGCUAAGAUCAAGUGUAGUAUCUGUUCUUAUCAGACAAUAAGGCAGGAAGAGAAAAUUAAUCUUACAUUUAAUAUUACUUGCAGUAAUAACUAUGCAGCUACAGUAAUUCAGCCAACAGUAAUUAUUAGGCAGGUUCGGUGUCAACACACAAUCUAACUCAACAACCAUAUGAAU
This is a small nuclear RNA of Arvicanthis niloticus (Nile rat), 193 nucleotides long. RefSeq annotates it as U2 spliceosomal RNA. Lineage: Eukaryota; Metazoa; Chordata; Mammalia; Rodentia; Muridae. The record is from RefSeq and is a predicted model, not a curated record.